RNAcentral lists this ribosomal RNA (497 nucleotides) under uncultured bacterium. RNAcentral describes it as "partial 16S ribosomal RNA". It matches the Rfam family "Bacterial small subunit ribosomal RNA", at positions 28 to 507 of the family's 1533-position model. The record is from RNAcentral.
GAUGAACGCUGGCGGCGUGCCUAAUACAUGCAAGUCGAGCGAACGGACGAGAAGCUUGCUUCUCUGAUGUUAGCGGCGGACGGGUGAGUAACACGUGGAUAACCUACCUAUAAGACUGGGAUAACUUCGGGAAACCGUAGCUAAUACCGGAUAAUAUUUUGAACCGCAUGGUUCAAAAGUGAAAGACGGUCUUGCUGUCACUUAUAGAUGGAUCCGCGCUGCAUUAGCUAGUUGGUAAGGUAACGGCUUACCAAGGCAACGAUGCAUAGCCGACCUGAGAGGGUGAUCGGCCACACUGGAACUGAGACACGGUCCAGACUCCUACGGGAGGCAGCAGUAGGGAAUCUUUCGCAAUGGGCGAAAGCCUGACGGAGCAACACCGCGUGAGUGAUGAAGGUCUUCGGAUCGUAAAACUCUGUUAUUAGGGAAGAACAUAUGUGUAAGUAACUGUGCACAUCUUGACGGUACCUAAUCAGAAAGCCACGGCUAACUACGUG